Molecule: long non-coding RNA, 263 nt
Filed under: Carica papaya (papaya)
Lineage: Eukaryota; Viridiplantae; Streptophyta; Magnoliopsida; Brassicales; Caricaceae
Description: long non-coding RNA (CPAP_LNC009456)
Source: RNAcentral
UUGUAAGGUAAAUUGGGAUUAAAAAAAAUUAGGUAAAGUAGAAGCUUAGCUUUCGUGGAAGGAAAAAGGGACACAACGAUGAGUUUGCUACGGCAAAGAAGAAAGUGGCAGUUUACAGCUUCCUUUCUCACACUCUUGGCCUCUCUUUCUCUCUCUAGCAUGAAGUUCUCUCUUCUUUUUGAAAUGCAGAAGGGAAAAUGAAGAAAUGGAGAAGGAAAGAGGUUUAAAUAUGAAAGGGCAGUUUAUCAUUAUCUAUCAUAUCA